This 723-nucleotide long non-coding RNA is filed under the name Exaiptasia diaphana. RNAcentral describes it as "uncharacterized LOC110241609, transcript variant X1". The record is from RNAcentral. Lineage: Eukaryota; Metazoa; Cnidaria; Anthozoa; Actiniaria; Aiptasiidae.
CCAUUCUUUUAAAACAGAGUACAUCAAUUGAUGAACAAGUGCUGUUUACAGUAACAACCCUCAGCAGGGGCAUUCAUCAAUACAGACAUGCGUACAACUGCUUUGCUGUUGCUUUGGGUGUUGAUAGCUACUAUGGCAGCUCAAGUCGAUGGAUGGUGGUUGUGUGGAUGUAGAAGACGCCAGUCUAGACGCAAGAGAGAACGUACCUGCAAAUCUCUAUGUGCCUCUAGGAUUGGAAAGAGAAGUGUUGAGGAGUUGAUGAUCCCAGGCCAAACUAAUGACUUCAGCAAACAGUGGCAAAACUUGGUUUCUUCCNUAUCAAAAUCCAGGCCAAAACGAGCGUUGAAGAGGCUCAAAUUCCCAGCUGACUGCAAUUCCAGCAAACUCCAAAACUUUGCCAGAAAAUGUAAUUUGUGUGUUGCAGCNGGUGGGAGUCACAUCAAGGUUUGCUCUGGCAGCAGACAAGUNACGACUAUCCCACAUCACGUCAAGUCCAAUGGUACUUGCAGGAGUAUCAUCAACGUAUUGAACAAUCUCUGCCUCUAACAACAUCUUGUAAAUCCACUUCAAAAUAGUUUGAUGAAAUUACGAUAUUGUUUAAAUGAAGUCAGUGACGUAAUGAAUUGUUUAGAGUUCUCUAUAUUAGGAGUUCGGUUGUAUGGAUGAUUUAUCAAAUUCAUUAACAAUUUAUAAGGUAAAUACAAUGCAAAAUCAUUGCCUUGA